RNAcentral lists this ribosomal RNA (447 nucleotides) under uncultured bacterium. RNAcentral describes it as "partial 16S ribosomal RNA". It matches the Rfam family "Bacterial small subunit ribosomal RNA", at positions 29 to 523 of the family's 1533-position model. The record is from RNAcentral.
AACGAACGCUGGCGGCAGGCUUAACACAUGCAAGUUGAACGCCCCGCAAGGGGAGUGGCAGACGGGUGAGUAACGCGUGGGAAUCUACCCAUCUCUGCGGAAUAGCUCCGGGAAACUGGAAUUAAUACCGCAUAUGCCCUACGGGGGAAAGAUUUAUCGGGGAUGGAUGAGCCCGCGUUGGAUUAGCUAGUUGGUGGGGUAAAGGCCUACCAAGGCGACGAUCCAUAGCUGGUCUGAGAGGAUGAUCAGCCACAUUGGGACUGAGACACGGCCCAAACUCCUACGGGAGGCAGCAGUGGGGAAUAUUGGACAAUGGGCGCAAGCCUGAUCCAGCCAUGCCGCGUGAGUGAUGAAGGCCUUAGGGUUGUAAAGCUCUUUCACCGGUGAAGAUAAUGACGGUAACCGGAGAAGAAGCCCCGGCUAACUUCGUGCCAGCAGCCGCGGUAA